AUAGUACUUCCUCCGUCUCAAAAUUCUUGUCUUAAAUUUACUUAGAUAUGAAUGUAUCUAUAGUCACGUUUUGAUACAUCCAUUUCUAGGUAAACCUAAGACAAGAAUUUUAAGACCGAGGAAGUAUUUU
Molecule: non-coding RNA, 130 nt
Organism: Hordeum vulgare subsp. vulgare (domesticated barley)
Lineage: Eukaryota; Viridiplantae; Streptophyta; Magnoliopsida; Poales; Poaceae
Source: Rfam